AGAGCGAACGCUGGCGGCAGGCUUAACACAUGCAAGUCGAGCGCCCCGCAAGGGGAGCGGCAGACGGGUGAGUAACGCGUGGGAACGUACCUUUUGGUUCGGAACAACACAGGGAAACUUGUGCUAAUACCGGAUAAGCCCUUACGGGGAAAGAUUUAUCGCCGAAAGAUCGGCCCGCGUCUGAUUAGCUAGUUGGUGAGGUAACGGCUCACCAAGGCGACGAUCAGUAGCUGGUCUGAGAGGAUGAUCAGCCACAUUGGGACUGAGACACGGCCCAAACUCCUACGGGAGGCAGCAGUGGGGAAUAGUUGGACAAUGGGCGCAAGCCUGAUCCAGCCAUGCCGCGUGAGUGAUGAAGGCCCUAGGGUUGUAAAGCUCUUUUAACGGGGAAGAUAAUGACGGUACCCGUAGAAUAAGCCCCGGCUAACUUCGUGCCAGCAGCCGC
RNAcentral lists this ribosomal RNA (445 nucleotides) under uncultured bacterium. RNAcentral's name for it is "SSU rRNA". It matches the Rfam family "Bacterial small subunit ribosomal RNA", at positions 26 to 518 of the family's 1533-position model. The record is from RNAcentral.